Molecule: ribosomal RNA, 513 nt
Filed under: uncultured Enterobacteriaceae bacterium
Lineage: Bacteria; Pseudomonadati; Pseudomonadota; Gammaproteobacteria; Enterobacterales; Enterobacteriaceae
Description: bacterial SSU rRNA
Rfam family: Bacterial small subunit ribosomal RNA
Source: RNAcentral
UCGGCUUAGAGUUUGAUCAUGGCUCAGAUUGAACGCUGGCGGCAGGCUUAACACAUGCAAGUCGAACGGUAAAGUAGCUUGCUACUUACGAGUGGCGGACGGGUGAGUAACGUAUGGGAAUUUACCGAAUGGAGGGGGACAACAGUUGGAAACGGCUGCUAAUACCGCAUAACGUCGAGAGACCAAAGGGUUUCGACUUGCCAUUUGAUGAGCCCAUAUGAGAUUAGCUAGUUGGUGUGGUAAUGGCUCACCAAGGCGACGAUCUCUAGCUGGUUUGAGAGGAUGACCAGCCACACUGGGACUGAGACACGGCCCAGACUCCUACGGGAGGCAGCAGUGGGGAAUAUUGCACAAUGGGGGGAACCCUGAUGCAGCCAUGCCGCGUGUAUGAAGAAGCCUUAGGGUUGUAAAGUACUUUCGUGGAGGAGGAAGGGUUUACGUAAUCGUGGACAUUGACGUUACUCCAAGAAGAAGCACCGGCUAACUCCGUGCCAGCAGCGCGGUAAUACGGAG